Molecule: ribosomal RNA, 253 nt
Filed under: uncultured bacterium
Lineage: Bacteria
Description: partial 16S ribosomal RNA
Rfam family: Bacterial small subunit ribosomal RNA
Source: RNAcentral
GACGAACCGAGCGAACGUUGUUCGGAAUCACUGGGCUUAAAGGGCGCGUAGGCGGGCUGUCAAGUCUGGGGUGAAAUCUCGCGGCUCAACCGCGGAACUGCCUCAGAUACUGACGGCCUCGAGGGGGGUAGGGGCGAGCGGAACGGGUGGUGGAGCGGUGAAAUGCGUUGAUAUCACUCGGAACUCCGGUGGCGAAGGCGGCUCGCUGGACCUCUUCUGACGCUGAUGCGCGAAAGCCAGGGGAGCAAACGGG